GCAUAUCAAUAAGCGGAGGAAAAGAAACUAACAAGGAUUCCCUUAGUAACGGCGAGUGAAGCGGGAAGAGCUCAAAUUUGAAAUCUCCAAGGUUCUACCUUGACGAAUUGUAGUUUAAAGAAGUGUUUUCUGUUAGAUGAGUAGCAAAAGUUCCUUGGAAUGGGACAUCAUAGAGGGUGAGAAUCCCGUAUUUGGUUAUUCAUUCUAGCUUUGUGAUACACUUCCAAAGAGUCGGAUUGUUUGGGAAUGCAGUCCAAAUGGGUGGUAAAUUUCAUCUAAAGCUAAAUAUUGGCGAGAGACCGAUAGCGAACAAGUACCGUGAGGGAAAGAUGAAAAGAACUUUGAAAAGAGAGUUAAACAGUACGUGAAAUUGUCAAAAGGGAAGCGUUUGACACCAGUGUUGUUUUUCCGAAAAUCAAUUACGAAUGGCUUGAUUUUGUGUUGUAUUGACCUUAUCAGCUUUCUUCACUUUUUUCGAGUCUUUCUUAAUGCACUUUUCGGUUAACAAGUCAACAUCAAUUUCUUUUGUUGUAAAAGAGUAUUCGGAAGGUGGCUUUCUUUUCGGAGAAAGUGUUUAUAGCCCUAUACUUCUACAAUCGGAGAGAUUGAGGUCUGCAGCGUAGAUCCUUCGGGGUUAGAUACACUUGUGCUAAGUUGUAGCUUUUCAUAGACAACUUGUUGACUAUGUUUAGUCAUGCGGCUUACUCGCUUGUGCUAUUUUACCUACGCUUAAGAUGUUGACAAAAUGGUUUUAAACGACCCGUCUUGAAACACGGACC
RNAcentral lists this ribosomal RNA (779 nucleotides) under Neocallimastix frontalis. Its description in RNAcentral is "partial large subunit ribosomal RNA". It matches the Rfam family "Eukaryotic large subunit ribosomal RNA", at positions 38 to 667 of the family's 3401-position model. Lineage: Eukaryota; Fungi; Neocallimastigomycota; Neocallimastigomycetes; Neocallimastigales; Neocallimastigaceae. The record is from RNAcentral.